RNAcentral lists this ribosomal RNA (2933 nucleotides) under Escherichia coli. RNAcentral's name for it is "bacterial LSU rRNA". It matches the Rfam family "Bacterial large subunit ribosomal RNA". Lineage: Bacteria; Pseudomonadati; Pseudomonadota; Gammaproteobacteria; Enterobacterales; Enterobacteriaceae. The record is from RNAcentral.
GGGUUGUGAGGUUAAGCGACUAAGCGUACACGGUGGAUGCCCUGGCAGUCAGAGGCGAUGAAGGACGUGCUAAUCUGCGAUAAGCGUCGGUAAGGUGAUAUGAACCGUUAUAACCGGCGAUUUCCGAAUGGGGAAACCCAGUGUGAUUCGUCACACUAUCAUUAACUGAAUCCAUAGGUUAAUGAGGCGAACCGGGGGAACUGAAACAUCUAAGUACCCCGAGGAAAAGAAAUCAACCGAGAUUCCCCCAGUAGCGGCGAGCGAACGGGGAGCAGCCCAGAGCCUGAAUCAGUGUGUGUGUUAGUGGAAGCGUCUGGAAAGGCGCGCGAUACAGGGUGACAGCCCCGUACACAAAAAUGCACAUGCUGUGAGCUCGAUGAGUAGGGCGGGACACGUGGUAUCCUGUCUGAAUAUGGGGGGACCAUCCUCCAAGGCUAAAUACUCCUGACUGACCGAUAGUGAACCAGUACCGUGAGGGAAAGGCGAAAAGAACCCCGGCGAGGGGAGUGAAAAAGAACCUGAAACCGUGUACGUACAAGCAGUGGGAGCACAGAGCAAUCUGUGUGACUGCGUACCUUUUGUAUAAUGGGUCAGCGACUUAUAUUCUGUAGCAAGGUUAACCGAAUAGGGGAGCCGAAGGGAAACCGAGUCUUAACUGGGCGUUAAGUUGCAGGGUAUAGACCCGAAACCCGGUGAUCUAGCCAUGGGCAGGUUGAAGGUUGGGUAACACUAACUGGAGGACCGAACCGACUAAUGUUGAAAAAUUAGCGGAUGACUUGUGGCUGGGGGUGAAAGGCCAAUCAAACCGGGAGAUAGCUGGUUCUCCCCGAAAGCUAUUUAGGUAGCGCCUCGUGAAUUCAUCUCCGGGGGUAGAGCACUGUUUCGGCAAGGGGGUCAUCCCGACUUACCAACCCGAUGCAAACUGCGAAUACCGGAGAAUGUUAUCACGGGAGACACACGGCGGGUGCUAACGUCCGUCGUGAAGAGGGAAACAACCCAGACCGCCAGCUAAGGUCCCAAAGUCAUGGUUAAGUGGGAAACGAUGUGGGAAGGCCCAGACAGCCAGGAUGUUGGCUUAGAAGCAGCCAUCAUUUAAAGAAAGCGUAAUAGCUCACUGGUCGAGUCGGCCUGCGCGGAAGAUGUAACGGGGCUAAACCAUGCACCGAAGCUGCGGCAGCGACGCUUAUGCGUUGUUGGGUAGGGGAGCGUUCUGUAAGCCUGUGAAGGUGUACUGUGAGGUAUGCUGGAGGUAUCAGAAGUGCGAAUGCUGACAUAAGUAACGAUAAAGCGGGUGAAAAGCCCGCUCGCCGGAAGACCAAGGGUUCCUGUCCAACGUUAAUCGGGGCAGGGUGAGUCGACCCCUAAGGCGAGGCCGAAAGGCGUAGUCGAUGGGAAACAGGUUAAUAUUCCUGUACUUGGUGUUACUGCGAAGGGGGGACGGAGAAGGCUAUGUUGGCCGGGCGACGGUUGUCCCGGUUUAAGCGUGUAGGCUGGUUUUCCAGGCAAAUCCGGAAAAUCAAGGCUGAGGCGUGAUGACGAGGCACUACGGUGCUGAAGCAACAAAUGCCCUGCUUCCAGGAAAAGCCUCUAAGCAUCAGGUAACAUCAAAUCGUACCCCAAACCGACACAGGUGGUCAGGUAGAGAAUACCAAGGCGCUUGAGAGAACUCGGGUGAAGGAACUAGGCAAAAUGGUGCCGUAACUUCGGGAGAAGGCACGCUGAUAUGUAGGUGAAGUCCCUCGCGGAUGGAGCUGAAAUCAGUCGAAGAUACCAGCUGGCUGCAACUGUUUAUUAAAAACACAGCACUGUGCAAACACGAAAGUGGACGUAUACGGUGUGACGCCUGCCCGGUGCCGGAAGGUUAAUUGAUGGGGUCAGCGCAAGCGAAGCUCUUGAUCGAAGCCCCGGUAAACGGCGGCCGUAACUAUAACGGUCCUAAGGUAGCGAAAUUCCUUGUCGGGUAAGUUCCGACCUGCACGAAUGGCGUAAUGAUGGCCAGGCUGUCUCCACCCGAGACUCAGUGAAAUUGAACUCGCUGUGAAGAUGCAGUGUACCCGCGGCAAGACGGAAAGACCCCGUGAACCUUUACUAUAGCUUGACACUGAACAUUGAGCCUUGAUGUGUAGGAUAGGUGGGAGGCUUUGAAGUGUGGACGCCAGUCUGCAUGGAGCCGACCUUGAAAUACCACCCUUUAAUGUUUGAUGUUCUAACGUUGACCCGUGAUCCGGGUUGCGGACAGUGUCUGGUGGGUAGUUUGACUGGGGCGGUCUCCUCCUAAAGAGUAACGGAGGAGCACGAAGGUUGGCUAAUCCUGGUCGGACAUCAGGAGGUUAGUGCAAUGGCAUAAGCCAGCUUGACUGCGAGCGUGACGGCGCGAGCAGGUGCGAAAGCAGGUCAUAGUGAUCCGGUGGUUCUGAAUGGAAGGGCCAUCGCUCAACGGAUAAAAGGUACUCCGGGGAUAACAGGCUGAUACCGCCCAAGAGUUCAUAUCGACGGCGGUGUUUGGCACCUCGAUGUCGGCUCAUCACAUCCUGGGGCUGAAGUAGGUCCCAAGGGUAUGGCUGUUCGCCAUUUAAAGUGGUACGCGAGCUGGGUUUAGAACGUCGUGAGACAGUUCGGUCCCUAUCUGCCGUGGGCGCUGGAGAACUGAGGGGGGCUGCUCCUAGUACGAGAGGACCGGAGUGGACGCAUCACUGGUGUUCGGGUUGUCAUGCCAAUGGCACUGCCCGGUAGCUAAAUGCGGAAGAGAUAAGUGCUGAAAGCAUCUAAGCACGAAACUUGCCCCGAGAUGAGUUCUCCCUGACUCCUUGAGAGUCCUGAAGGAACGUUGAAGACGACGACGUUGAUAGGCCGGGUGUGUAAGCGCAGCGAUGCGUUGAGCUAACCGGUACUAAUGAACCGUGAGGCUUAACCUUACAACGCCGAAGGUGUUU